This 269-nucleotide long non-coding RNA is filed under the name Dermacentor andersoni. RNAcentral describes it as "uncharacterized LOC126519710". The record is from RNAcentral. Lineage: Eukaryota; Metazoa; Arthropoda; Arachnida; Ixodida; Ixodidae.
CAGACAUAAGAACUGCAUUUAUGUCCAUAAUUCCCCAUUUGAAUGGCCUUUUCUUUUUGCUUAGACAAUGCCUACGCCUAGCCACAGCAGCUCCCUCAUGCAGACUCCACAAGCCAAGAGGCCAUGGAGGCAAAUGCAGGCAGCCAGCACACCUCGAACAGCCACCUUGACUGCGGGUGUGUUAACAGAUUCUUGUUGUACAUAUGCUCAUAAUAAACUUCAUUAAACUUGAACUUAAUAAUAAACUUGAAGGCAAAUGGGACAUUGAA